UCACAAGCUGCGGGUGUACUGGAACGUGUACCACCACUCGGUGGGCUACACCAUCAUCAUCCUGGGCAUCGUCAACAUCUUCAAGGGCAUGAGCAUCCUGAACGUGGAGCAGAAGUGGAAGACGGGGUACAUCAUCGCAAUCGGCAUCCUGGGCGGUGUGGCCGUGGUGCUGGAGGUGAUCACCUGGAGCAUCGUGUUGAAGAGGAGGAAGACGGAGGACAAGGCCUACAACGGCGGCGCCUCCAACAACAACGGCCACCUGCCGCUCUCUAUGUGAUGUGAUUCUUUCCCGGUGACGGGCCAGAAUCUAUGAUUGUCUUGGUGGUUGUGUU
RNAcentral lists this long non-coding RNA (332 nucleotides) under Hordeum vulgare. RNAcentral's name for it is "long non-coding RNA (HVUL_LNC018513)". Lineage: Eukaryota; Viridiplantae; Streptophyta; Magnoliopsida; Poales; Poaceae. The record is from RNAcentral.